AUGAAGAACGUAGCAAAAUGCGAUACUUGGUGUGAAUUGCAGAAUCCCGUGAACCAUCGAGUAUUUGAACGCAAGUUGCGCCCGAAGCCGAGAGGCCCAGGGCUCGCC
This 108-nucleotide ribosomal RNA is filed under the name Lagarosiphon muscoides. Its description in RNAcentral is "5.8S ribosomal RNA". It matches the Rfam family "5.8S ribosomal RNA", at positions 36 to 141 of the family's 154-position model. Rfam says of the family: 5.8S ribosomal RNA (5.8S rRNA) is a component of the large subunit of the eukaryotic ribosome. It is transcribed by RNA polymerase I as part of the 45S precursor that also contains 18S and 28S rRNA. Functionally, it is thought that 5.8S rRNA may be involved in ribosome translocation. Lineage: Eukaryota; Viridiplantae; Streptophyta; Magnoliopsida; Alismatales; Hydrocharitaceae. The record is from RNAcentral.